CCUUCGAUAGCUCAGUUGGUAGAUCGGGGGACUGUAGAUUUAUUACUGUGAUCCCUAGUCGCUGGUUCGAAUCCGGCUCGAAGGA
Molecule: transfer RNA, 85 nt
Filed under: Nematostella vectensis (starlet sea anemone)
Lineage: Eukaryota; Metazoa; Cnidaria; Anthozoa; Actiniaria; Edwardsiidae
Rfam family: tRNA
About the family: Transfer RNA (tRNA) molecules are approximately 80 nucleotides in length. Their secondary structure includes four short double-helical elements and three loops (D, anti-codon, and T loops). Further hydrogen bonds mediate the characteristic L-shaped molecular structure. tRNAs have two regions of fundamental functional importance: the anti-codon, which is responsible for specific mRNA codon recognition, and the 3' end, to which the tRNAs corresponding amino acid is attached (by aminoacyl-tRNA synthetases). tRNAs cope with the degeneracy of the genetic code in two manners: having more than one tRNA (with a specific anti-codon) for a particular amino acid; and 'wobble' base-pairing, i.e. permitting non-standard base-pairing at the 3rd anti-codon position.
Source: Rfam by way of RNAcentral